This 497-nucleotide ribosomal RNA is filed under the name uncultured bacterium. RNAcentral describes it as "partial 16S ribosomal RNA". It matches the Rfam family "Bacterial small subunit ribosomal RNA", at positions 28 to 507 of the family's 1533-position model. The record is from RNAcentral.
GAUGCACGCUGGCGGCGUGCCUAAUACAUGCAAGUCGAGCGAACGGACGAGAAGCUUGCUUCUCUGAUGUUAGCGGCGGACGGGUGAGUAACACGUGGAUAACCUACCUAUAAGACUGGGAUAACUUCGGGAAACCGGAGCUAAUACCGGAUAAUAUUUUGAACCGCAUGGUUCAAAAGUGAAAGACGGUCUUGCUGUCACUUAUAGAUGGAUCCGCGCUGCAUUAGCUAGUUGGUAAGGUAACGGCUUACCAAGGCAACGAUGCAUAGCCGACCUGAGAGGGUGAUCGGCCACACUGGAACUGAGACACGGUCCAGACUCCUACGGGAGGCAGCAGUAGGGAAUCUUCCGCAAUGGGCGAAAGCCUGACGGAGCAACGCCGCGUGAGUGAUGAAGGUCUUCGGAUCGUAAAACUCUGUUAUUAGGGAAGAACAUAUGUGUAAGUAACUGUGCACAUCUUGACGGUACCUAAUCAGAAAGCCACGGCUAACUACGUG